UUUUUUUUUCAUGUAAACAUAUGAGAAUUGGUGUUUUCAUGUGAAUGAUAGUCAAACAUAAAUAAAUUAACACUAUUUUCGUGAAUCCUAGAAAUCCACUGGGGGGGGGGGGCUGCAGUCUCGCAGUCCCUAUUGACGAGCCGCCACUGAUGCAAAGCAUGAUCAUUCUUACCCCAUGGAAACUCCAGCUUGACAUCUUAAUUAAGAGAGACAAAAUAGUGAUCCAGUUAAAGUGCAAGAAAAAAAAAAGAAAAAAAAUCCUGCACUGAAGUCACUCUCCCUUCUCAUUUCUAAGAUGAACAACAUUUUGUAUGCAGUGAGUAUAGAACAAUCAAUCCUUCCAGUGCCAUGUGGCAUUUUGCUGGGUCAGUUAAAGAUAAUUAUCUGAGUGGCCAUCUUGGCUUGAGCCUCGUCUUUCAACAUCAUUAUCAUCUUCUGGUAAAAUGCAGUAAUGUAGUGUGAGAUAUGACUAAUACAACAAAUGCUGGCUAAAAUACUCAGCAAAAUAACCUGUAUUUGCACAGGUGAUGAAGUAGGACAAGGGAUACACAGGAUCAAAAGUGGCCAUUACAAUGUAGACUGUGAGCAAUGAGUAAAGAGUCCUUAGUGAGUGACCAAUGACCUGAACAGUAGCCAGACAUGCUGCCUACAACAAGUUUCUCCUUGUUUCUUAAUUGCUAAUGAUACAAAAUAUCUUGUUAUAUUUGCAUUCUGUCUAGAUAACAAAGACAGAGAUAUCUAAGUAAUGAAAUAUGCCACCAAAAUGUGCAAUUAUUGUGAAAAUAACAACAAAGAGGCAUUUUAAAAUUUCAUUUCAUACCUACUAUACCAUCCUGCAUGUUUUGUGAGUCACCCCUGGCUAACAUCAGAUAUCAUUUUGAUCUAGUAUGUCAUAAACAACCCAUUGUAUAUUAUUGUCUUUUUCAUCUUUAGAUAUAAUAACAGAAACAUAAAUAGCUAAUAAGGCUCUAUAUAAUGUACUUUUAUUUAACCAACAAUAUCACAACCCCUGGAAGACUGGCUGUUCAGUUCAAAAUGCCAUAAGUUUUAAGCACUGAGGGUUGAAAGCUGCUGCAGCUUCUGUGAGGGAUGCCUCACAAAUGGACUGCACUACAGUUUUUCCCCCUGUAGCAAGACACCCUGACUUUUGGCCUGUUCUUCAGUGGUCAGGUGGGCAGAGCUUGUAAGGGCUUAGAAUCUAAGCAUUUACAUAAUAACAAAAUGUUGAAAGGUAAAUUUAAUUUGUGGGAAAUGUAGUAAACCAUACACUUUUCUAUGAAAAUGCUUGUAUUCUCUGCCUCUGUAAUGAUUUAGCUACCACAUGUAGUAAAAGUCCCUUAACCUGGUGCCCCAUAUAUCUAAUUUGAAAAUAGGUGGCAGAAAUUCUGAAAUUUCACUUAAUUUAAAAUUUUUCUUCAUGAUUUGCAGACCUUUUUGUAUUAUCUAUGCCAAUAAUACAUAUGAUUAUUACUAUAUCAAAGUACUAAUAUCAUUACAUCAUAAUGAAUAACACAAUCAGGAGGAAACACAGAGCAUGACCAUAAAAACACAAAAGAGUAAACAAACCAGUGAUCAGUUACAUACCACACAAGGUUCUGCUCCUGGCCUAGUGCAUCCAGUUUCACUCAGCAGUCAUCAAGGUAAGACACUCAUAAAUCUUUACCUUACAGUGCAAAAUUUGUUUUUAUAAUAGAAGCAAUGUAUAGAUGACAUUAACCAAAAAUGUAAAGACCAUGAUUAUGUUGAUUUUGAAGACGAGUAAAAAAAGCCAUAAAUUUCACACAUCUCAUAUUUUUAAAGCCGCGAAUUUCACAUAUCUCGUAUUUUAAAAGCUAUUUUCAUCAAGUUUCCAUAUUUUGGAAAUAAUCUUUAUAUGUACAGUAGGGUAGGCGACAACGUAUGGUCAUUAUAAUGUACAACUGCCAUAACGCAAUGAAAUUUUAAUAAAUGGUUAAUCAGAAUAAUGAACCAAAACUGGCAUAAUGAACUCACCACUCGUGCAAACACUGGAAGUCCAAUAAAUAUUUAAUUGGAAUAACGAACCAAAACUGGCGAGACAAACUUACUAUUCGUGCGAGCAUUGAAAUUUUAAUAAAAAUUUAAUCAGAACAAACUAAACUUGCAAGACUAACUCACCAGCUGUGUGAGCUGCUGCUCACCUGUCUGCUGCCUGUCCUUUCCUGCCUUUUUUUUUUUUUUUUUUUUUUUUUUUUGUCUCAAAGUUCCCUCCCUGUCACCUCCUCCCCACCUUAUCUGUCAGAGACAAGGGACAAUGGAGUAACACCUAACUCUUGCUUUUGGAAUAAUACCUAGCUCUUUCCCCUCAUUUAUUUUAUGUAAUUUUCACUUCAUCCUUUCUCACUUGUAUAUGUAAUUCCAUUUUCAUCGUCAAGCAGUCUCAUUUUAUUUAGCAAUCCCUAGGAAUGUUCUUACUUUCAACGAGAGAGAGAGAGAGAGAGAGAGAGAGAGAGAGCCAUCUCCAACUUAUGGGAGUUUAGUAUAUGUAUAUGCAUGAUGCCAACAAUAGGUAAAUGUGACCGAUAAUUGUCAAAGCAGCACGAAACUCAAGGUGAUAAUGCAUGAGACUCGGGAUGGUAAGAAUUUAGGACUAGGCAGUAUAUAUUUGUUGUGCUAUCUCAAAUGCAGUAGUGCAGAUGUGCUCAUUUUUAUGUAAUGUUUAAAAAAUUGUGGAAUUAUUUGUAUAUCUGUCUGGUUCCCUGGAAGCAAUAUUAGUUUCCCAUAGGUUCUUCAGUCACCAUAACACACAUUUGCCAUAAUGAAUGCUACAUUGAAAUGAAUCAUGUUUGUUGCCGUGUAUCCUAUUGUACUUUCUCAUGUUUUAAAAACUUUUACUUAAUGUUGUUCAUUUUAUAAAUUUGGCUCUGUGUAGAGGUCCUUUGCCAUAAAUAGUGCACAUAUGGCAUCUAUGUAGUCUUAGGAGCUUGUAAAAGGAUUAUAAAAUCUUUUAAAACUUAAUAUAUAUGAAACUUAAAAUAUUAUGAAUAUUGCAUACACAUCAUGUAUGUAUUACCUAGGUUCUGGAUGGUACCAUCUCAACUCUAAAAUUGUUGCCAAUUCAGAUGACUUUGGUAUUCUCCUGUCAUUCAGAUUAAGGGACUUUUUACUAUCUGUGUUAUCCCUAAUUGGUGCGUCCAUAGUUAUAUAUUCCAAAUUAAUUCUUCAUGGGAAGUUCAAGGUUAUUUCAAAUAACAUUUAUCUCAUUGAUUCCAAUCAUAUAAAAUCAAGAUAAUAUCUUCUGGUUAUUUAUUGGAAUUUACUACAAGUACUACACAGAAAUGUGAAGAUUUUACUUAAGUUAUCUUUUUCAGAAUUGUUCUUUAUAGUUUUUAUAAAUAUAUACUAUGAGCCAGAUUUUCUAUCUUGUUUGCUUUUUUGGGUUAAGAUUGUGAUUAAUAAAGUAUAUGUACGUAUAUAUUAAAAAAGAAAAAAAACAUUGAAUAAAAUAUAAAAUCUG
Molecule: long non-coding RNA, 3475 nt
Organism: Scylla paramamosain (green mud crab)
Lineage: Eukaryota; Metazoa; Arthropoda; Malacostraca; Decapoda; Portunidae
Exons: 3
Source: RefSeq, a predicted model, not a curated record